AGGGCACCACCAGGAGUGGAGCCUGCGGCUUAAUUUGACCCAACAUGGGAAAACUCACCCGGCCCGGACACCGCGAGGAUUGACAGAUUGAUAGCUCUUUCAUGAUUCGGUGGAUGGUGGUGCAUGGCCGUUCUUAGUUCGUGGAGCGAUUUGUCUGGUUUAUUCCGAUAACGAGCGAGACUCUAGCCUACUAACUAGUCCGCAUGUUCGCUUGCUGCAUCCUUGGGACUUCUUAGAGGGAUUUUCGGCGUUUCAGCCGCACGAAACUGAGCAAUAACAGGUCUGUGACGCCCUUAGAUGUCCGGGGCUGCACGCGCGCUACACUGGCGAAAUCAGCGUGCCUGUCCUCUCGCGAAAGCGACUGGUAAACCGGUGAAAAUUCGCCGUGAUUGGGAUCGGAAAUUGCAAUUAUUUUCCGUGAACGAGGAAUUCCAAGUAAGUGCGAGUCAUCAACUCGCGUUGAUUACGUCCCUGCCCUUUGUACACACCGCCCGUCGCUGCCCGAGACUGAGCCAUUUC
RNAcentral lists this ribosomal RNA (519 nucleotides) under uncultured eukaryote. RNAcentral's name for it is "SSU rRNA". It matches the Rfam family "Eukaryotic small subunit ribosomal RNA", at positions 1161 to 1700 of the family's 1831-position model. The record is from RNAcentral.